This 104-nucleotide small nuclear RNA is filed under the name Myotis davidii. The record is from RNAcentral. Lineage: Eukaryota; Metazoa; Chordata; Mammalia; Chiroptera; Vespertilionidae.
GUGCUCGCUUUGGCAGCACAUAUACUAAAAUUGGAAUGAUACAGAGAUUAGCAUGGCCCCUAUGCAAGGAUGGCACACAAAUUCGUAAAGCGUUCCAUAUUAAA